UACGUAGGGUGCGAGCGUUGUCCGGAAUUAUUGGGCGUAAAGAGCUCGUAGGCGGUCUGUCGCGUCGGAUGUGAAAGCCCGGGGCUUAACUCCGGGUCUGCAUUCGAUACGGGCAGACUAGAGGUGUGGUAGGGGAGAUCGGAAUUCCUGGUGGUAGCGGUGAAAUGCGCAGGAUAUCAAGGAGGAACACCGGUGGCGAAGGCGGAUCUCUGGGCCAUUACUGACGCUGGAGGAGCGAAAGCGUGGGGAGCGAACAGG
Molecule: ribosomal RNA, 258 nt
Filed under: uncultured bacterium
Lineage: Bacteria
Description: partial 16S ribosomal RNA
Rfam family: Bacterial small subunit ribosomal RNA
Source: RNAcentral